GCCUGGGUGGCUCAGUCGGUUGAGCGUCCGACUUCAGCUCGGGUCAUGAUCUCGCAGUCUGUGAGUUCGAGCCCCACGUCGGGCU
This 85-nucleotide transfer RNA is filed under the name Felis catus (domestic cat). It matches the Rfam family "tRNA". Rfam says of the family: Transfer RNA (tRNA) molecules are approximately 80 nucleotides in length. Their secondary structure includes four short double-helical elements and three loops (D, anti-codon, and T loops). The record is from Rfam by way of RNAcentral. Lineage: Eukaryota; Metazoa; Chordata; Mammalia; Carnivora; Felidae.